This is a non-coding RNA of Dermacentor andersoni, 2227 nucleotides long. The record is from RefSeq and is a predicted model, not a curated record. Lineage: Eukaryota; Metazoa; Arthropoda; Arachnida; Ixodida; Ixodidae.
UUUCCUAGCAUCCUUUGCGGUUGGUCGUUACAUCGUGUGUUGUGGCAGUGCUCUUUGUGAGGCUGGAGGCUGCUUCGAGUCAAUCUGUUCUCAUCGUUUUAACUAUGAAGCGUGUGCCUGUGGCUGUUCAGCGUGCCGGUAUCAAGAGACCACGUGUGCGCCGGUCAGCAUCGCGGCCACGUGAUGCACCAACUGAACCUGCCGGCGUGAGCUGAUGAACGCUCCACUGUGGAGCACCAGAUGAACCUGCCGGCGUAAGCUGAAUGCCCUGGUUUGGAGCACUGUCCAUGGCGGCGGCAGCUGAAUGCUCUGCUGUGGAGGGGCAACAAUCUGCACUCCUGCAUGCAGGAGGUGAGUAUUGCAAGCACUUGCAGUCAUUGAUUCCUCGUGAUGAACUUAUAGUCUCGUUCGUAUGAAAAUACUGAUUCAAUUAAAUUUCCUGAUCCUUUGCUGACUUGGUGAGAUAUUGGUUUUGUGUGCCGUUUCAGUAAUUGCACUUAGUUUUUCAGGACGAGGAAGUAGAACCAAAGACUGUACAUGAGUCCUGGUGGAUGUGACAUCAGUUCUAUCUCCAAGGUUUGUUUGUGCACCAGCUUGGUUAACUUGCUUGUUGUUGUGAUGAUUAAGUGUUCAUACUUUUCAUGGUGAAGUACAUUGCCCUCUCUGAUGCACAAGUUUUCUUGUGGGUUUGAAAAGUUCACUGCUAUUGUUAAGCAUUAUCCUUUAUUCCAGGUUUCCUUGAACUGUCCGUCCAGUCUAAUGCAAUUGGUCAGAAGGUUGGUAUGUUCUCCCUCAAGCCUUGUUAUGUAGUUUGGUGUUAGGAUAACGUCAAACUAUUCCAGUUUCUCAAGUUUGUUUGUGUACCAGCUCGGUUAUCUUGCUUGUUGUGAUGAUUAAGUGUUCAUACUUUUCAUGGUGAAGUACAUUGCCCUCUCUGAUAACACAAGUUCUCUCAUGGGUUUGAAAAGUCCACUGCUAUCGUUAAACAUUAUCCUUUAUUCCAGGUUUCCUCGAACUGCCCAUCCAGUCUAAUGCAAUUGGUCAGAAGGUUGGUAUGUUCUCCCUCAAGCCUCGUUACGUAGUUUGGCGUUUGUCAGGAUAACGUCAAACUAUUCCAGUCUGUUUUUAUUCCGAAUUGCUCCACCCAAAUGGGCUGGACCCGAGCCAUUUUGACCUAUCGUAGAAGGCUAAUGGUGUAUUUGGAAUAACAGAUGGGAACAGUUUCACGUUAUUAUGGCCUUCAUCUAAUGAAUUUGGCAACCCAAUUCUGUACUGCUGGUGCUUAUUUUAGCAGGUUUUCUACAUUACCUUAGUAAAUGUAUUGUGAUGAAUCAAAUAUCGCCCCAGUCCUACUUUUCGUGCGGAUUGAUGUUUCUGAUAUUUUGCUGUGUUGGUUUUAUCUGAUGAGCAACUACUGCUGGUGCUAAUUGCUUCUUCAUUCUUCUAGGCUUUCUGCACUGCUUCGGCUGCCUUAGUGGGUGAGUGGAUCUUUGUUUUAAUUUGCUUUUUGUGCUGAUGAAUUCAAUAUCGCCCCAGUCCUAUUUUUUGUGCGGAUUGAUGUUUCUGAUAGUUUGCAGUGUUGGUUUUAUCUGAUAAGCAACUGUACUGCUGGUGCUAAUUGCUUUUUCAUUCUUCUAGGCUUUCUGCCUACUCUAGUGGGUGAGCGGACCUUUUUGAUUUGACUUUCGUUCUGGUUAAUUGUAUAUCGCCCCAGCCCUACUUCUCGUGCGGAUGAAUGUUUGACAUUGUGCAUGGCGAGGGUUUUAAAUAAAACAGCUGCACUGCUGGUGCUAUAAAUGCAUUUUCUAGGCUGCAGGGCCUCGGCUGCUCUAGAGUGAGUGGAACUGUCCUAAUUUCCUUUUCCCUCUUCUGUAUGCAGCCUAGUGUAAGUGCAUUGGUUUUUGGUUACUUUUAUACCAGUGUUCCAGGCAUUGUAUAGUGUGGUCGCCUGUAUCUAUUCGUACUGAAAAGUGGGGCUGUGGUACCACCAGAUCUAAAUAAGUUGCACGUAAUUUUAGCUUAUGAUUUUCAGUUUAAAACAAUUUCUGUUGGGUCGCCACUGUCCUAUGUAACUGACUGUCUUGGUUUUGUACUUUCUUUAAGGUUGCUUGGUACUUCCCAUGAAGAUGGCAAAAAUGGUUUUGGUCAUUGCUCCUACAAGUACCGUGGAUGCCAGCCACUGCAUCUUCACAAAAUGGCUUUUGAUGAAAUAAAAUGUUUUCGUUCA